CAAGAUGGCAUCUUACCUAUCCCGGUAC
This 28-nucleotide non-coding RNA is filed under the name Rattus norvegicus (Norway rat). Lineage: Eukaryota; Metazoa; Chordata; Mammalia; Rodentia; Muridae. The record is from RNAcentral.